Molecule: long non-coding RNA, 420 nt
Organism: Polypterus senegalus (gray bichir)
Lineage: Eukaryota; Metazoa; Chordata; Cladistia; Polypteriformes; Polypteridae
Exons: 3
Source: RefSeq, a predicted model, not a curated record
CUGAGCUUAAGGAGCUUUCAGAGACCAAGGACCAUCUCCACUUCCUGCAGACUUUCUCCUCUCGCUGUGUCUUUCCUGCUGAUGGAGACUCGCUGAGCUUCACUGUCACCGCUGAUUUCUCAUCUGAGGACCUGAGAAAGGAGCUCUCAGGUCUGGCAAAGAAUGUGGAGAAGAUCAGCCAGGGGGACAUCAAGAGAAGGACUCCAUCAGUGGUGAAGAUAAGCAAAUUGGAGGACUGCGUCAGAACUCUGACUACUUGAGGACCACCUGAACAUUUCAGUGAGUGCAGCCUCAGAGUAAAACACACUUUAUAAAUUAUGAAUUACGUACGUUUACACAUAAAGACAGCGAUUUGUUUAAACACAAACUAAGGUCAAGCAGCCAAGAGCACAGGGUCCAUCACAGCCGUCCACCACAUUA